UGAGGAAUAUUGGUCAAUGGGCGAGAGCCUGAACCAGCCAAGUAGCGUGCAGGACGACGGCCCUAUGGGUUGUAAACUGCUUUUAUGUGGGGAUAAAGUGCGUGACGUGUCAUGCAUUGCAGGUACCACAUGAAUAAGGACCGGCUAAUUCCGUGCCAGCAGCCGCGGUAAUACGGAAGGUCCGGGCGUUAUCCGGAUUUAUUGGGUUUAAAGGGAGCGUAGGCUGUCUAUUAAGCGUGUUGUGAAAUAUACCGGCUCAACCGGUGGCUUGCAGCGCGAACUGGUCGACUUGAGUAUGCAGGAAGUAGGCGGAAUUCACGGUGUAGCGGUGAAAUGCUUAGAUAUCAUGACGAACUCCGAUUGCGCAGGCAGCUUACUGUAGCAUAACUGACGCUGAUGCUCGAAAGUGCGGGUAUCAAACAGG
Molecule: ribosomal RNA, 424 nt
Filed under: Verrucomicrobiota bacterium
Lineage: Bacteria; Pseudomonadati; Verrucomicrobiota
Description: Verrucomicrobia bacterium partial 16S ribosomal RNA
Rfam family: Bacterial small subunit ribosomal RNA
Source: RNAcentral